RNAcentral lists this long non-coding RNA (2084 nucleotides) under Homo sapiens (human). Its description in RNAcentral is "HSALNT0406240". The record is from RNAcentral. Lineage: Eukaryota; Metazoa; Chordata; Mammalia; Primates; Hominidae.
CAUGGUUUCUAUACACAGUGAAUCCUCCCUCCCCUGGCUCCAUUGGACCCGUGUGCCUGGCACUUUUCCUGGGGCAGAUGAAGCCCUCGCAGAUGCCUAACAAAGCUUUUCUCCAGUCUCCCACACCCCCCACUGCCCCACUUCAGGAGCUCUGAGUGGCCGCCACGCACAGCUAGAGAGACAGUCAACUUGCUUUAUUCAGGCUCUGGCGGGGACAGAAUAAAAGCAGCCUCCCCACCCACCCACCUGGCCAGCAAGCCUCCUGCCUGGAAUGGCUUUAAAAAAAUUAAUUUGCAAUGAUUUGCUCCCUUCUGUUCUGUGGGGAUCACCAGCAUUUUAAAUAUGUAUUUAGAUCAGAUUCACAACUCCCAGUUAAACCUCAACUGCCUGCCCCCACCCGGCAGAAAGAACACAGGAUUCAGAAUCAGGUGACUAGAAGUUCAGGCCAAGUUCUGCUAAUGAUGCGCUGUGUGGCCUUGGGCAAAUUACUUAAGCUCUCUGUGCCUCCACUGGCUCCUCUGGAAACUGAGGUUAAGGAUAACCCCUCCCUCACAGAGUGCUGCGAGGAUUAAAUUAGGUAAGUUUAGGGAAGACCUGGGCAGUGCCAGACCUAUGUUUUCUUUUCCCUUGUACUGACUGUCCUGCUAAUUAGCCUGGUGACCCUGGGCAGGCCACUCAGCCACCCCUGGCCUCAAUGUCCUCAUCUGUAAAGGCUGGGGGUGGGGAUUGUGGUAGGAGAUGAGGGCACAAAUACCCCACCCUCAGCCCCUUCCGCACACCCACUUCCUCCUGCCCUCUCCCCACCAGAGACGAUACUGUCCCCCUCAACCACUUCUUUCUUGUUAUCUGAGCACUGGGUUUUAAUUGGCGAUGGCCCCUCCCCAGCUGCCUCUCCUCCCGGCUCCCUGUGAAGUCUCAGGCUUGCAGCCCUGAGGGGCCUGCAGUUCCUGGCUCAUUGUCAGGGGCAAUUAGCUGUGAUGUCACAAGCCUAGGUGGUGACUUCCGUGGGGCAGAUGCUUAGCCAGGCACCAGGAGGCCAGGACCCUGCUCCAUCUGUGACCUGCGGGGCUCCCCCAGGCUCCAGGGGUCCCCAUUACCAGUCGCAGGGAGGCAGGGCUCCUAGGCAAAGCCAUUUCCAUUUCUGCACUUGAUGGCUCCUUGAAGCCCAGCCUGCGUGUAAAUGAGUUCCACCCUGUGCUUUUGUUGGCAACUGUCGGCUCCCUGGAAGCAAGGGGCUUUGUCAGGAAGAACAAAGCUGUGCGGUGUUUUUCUGAUUUGGGGGAAAGCGUGCUCCUGGGGGAGGGCUCAGCGCUUCUCAGUGUCGGUCUCCAGCCCUGGUUCUCAGACUUGCUGGUUUUGUUUUGGGUUCUUAAGUCCUAUGGCUUAAGAGUCACAUAUGUUUGUGUGUGUGUUGGCUGAGGGUUUUUUUUUUUUUUUCCUCCUUUUUGGCUUACAUAGCGUUCCAGAGACUGAACUUCUCAAAUCACUGCUUCAACAGCUUUUAAAAAUCUGGACCUAGUUACUCCUGUCAUCUAUGUGUAAAGAUUUAGAAAAAAAAUCCCAAACCCAAGGGUGGGCAGCCGCGAGGAUGUACAGCUCCUGGCAGUGUGCGCUCACCCGGAGACCUGAGGUCAAAGCCCAAAUGCUGAGCACCUCCUGGGAGGCGGGAGCAUGGUCUGCUCAGUGCCAGACAUCUGGAUAUUGAGAAAACAUCUGGGUAGCUGGGGUUUUCAGGUUUCUGCCUGACAUUUAAUAUCACAAACAUUGAGCCUGCUCCUGUCCCCCACCAGCCACGCGGCUUCUCCUCCCAAACAUACCCAGCUCCUUCCCCUGCCUUCCUGACGGGUAAGAAACAUCCAUUCUUUCCAAUUCCCCAGCGUUUUCCCCCUACCGGAAAUCUGAUGGGCUUAUGACAUCAUGGCUGGCUGCUGAGCGAUGAAGUGGAUGCCACAAAGAAAUCCGACAUAUCAGAUAGAUUCUGAAAUCGGUUUCCCUCCAGCUGUAGUAACAGGCGUGAAGUCAGGAGAAUUUGAGCUUUGUUUAAAAAAUAAAUAAAUAAAUAAAUAAACCAUAACAAAGUCUUG